This 357-nucleotide ribosomal RNA is filed under the name uncultured bacterium. RNAcentral describes it as "partial 16S ribosomal RNA". It matches the Rfam family "Bacterial small subunit ribosomal RNA", at positions 338 to 706 of the family's 1533-position model. The record is from RNAcentral.
CCUACGGGAUGCUGCAGUCGAGAAUCAUUCACAAUGGGGGAAACCCUGAUGCUGCGACGCCGCGUGGGUGAAUGAAGGUCUUCGGAUUGUAAACCCUUGUCAUGUGGGAGCAAAUUAAAAAGAUAGUACCACAAGAGGAAGAGACGACUAACUCUGUGCCAGCAGCCUCGGUAAUACAGAGGUCUCAAGCGUUGUUCGGAAUCACUCGGCGUAAAGCGUGCGUAGGCUGUUUCGUAAGUCGUGUGUGAAAGGCGCGGGCUCAACCCGGGGACGGCACAUGAUACUGCGAGACGAGAGUAAUGGAGGAGGAAGCGGAAAUCUCGGGGUAGGAGGGAAAUGCGUAGAUAUCGAGAGGAA